AACGAACGCUGGCGGCAUGCCUAACACAUGCAAGUCGAACGAGACCUUCGGGUCUAGUGGCGCACGGGUGCGUAACGCGUGGGAACCUGCCCUUAGGUUCGGAAUAACUCCCCGAAAGGGGGGCUAAUACCGGAUAAUGUCUUCGGACCAAAGAUUUAUCGCCUUUGGAUGGGCCCGCGUUGGAUUCGCUAGUUGGUAGGGUAAAAGCCUACCAAGGCGACGAUCCAUAGCUGGUCUGAGAGGAUGAUCAGCCACACUGGGACUGAGACACGGCCCAGACUCCUACGGGAGGCAGCAGUGGGGAAUAUUGGACAAUGGGCGAAAGCCUGAUCCAGCAAUGCCGCGUGAGUGAUGAAGGCCUUAGGGUUGUAAAGCUCUUUUACCCGGGAUGAUAAUGACAGUACCGGGAGAAUAAGCUCCGGCUAACUCCGUG
This 433-nucleotide ribosomal RNA is filed under the name uncultured bacterium. Its description in RNAcentral is "partial 16S ribosomal RNA". It matches the Rfam family "Bacterial small subunit ribosomal RNA", at positions 29 to 507 of the family's 1533-position model. The record is from RNAcentral.